This 630-nucleotide ribosomal RNA is filed under the name Kocuria palustris. RNAcentral describes it as "bacterial SSU rRNA". It matches the Rfam family "Bacterial small subunit ribosomal RNA", at positions 180 to 822 of the family's 1533-position model. The record is from RNAcentral. Lineage: Bacteria; Bacillati; Actinomycetota; Actinomycetes; Micrococcales; Micrococcaceae.
AUGUCACCGCAUGGUGGUGUGUGGAAAGGGUUUACUGGUCUUGGAUGGGCUCACGGCCUAUCAGCUUGUUGGUGAGGUAAUGGCUCACCAAGGCGACGACGGGUAGCCGGCCUGAGAGGGUGACCGGCCACACUGGGACUGAGACACGGCCCAGACUCCUACGGGAGGCAGCAGUGGGGAAUAUUGCACAAUGGGCGAAAGCCUGAUGCAGCGACGCCGCGUGAGGGAUGACGGCCUUCGGGUUGUAAACCUCUUUCAGCAGGGAAGAAGCCACAAGUGACGGUACCUGCAGAAGAAGCGCCGGCUAACUACGUGCCAGCAGCCGCGGUAAUACGUAGGGCGCAAGCGUUGUCCGGAAUUAUUGGGCGUAAAGAGCUCGUAGGCGGUUUGUCGCGUCUGCUGUGAAAGCCCGGGGCUUAACCCCGGGUGUGCAGUGGGUACGGGCAGACUAGAGUGCAGUAGGGGAGACUGGAAUUCCUGGUGUAGCGGUGGAAUGCGCAGAUAUCAGGAGGAACACCGAUGGCGAAGGCAGGUCUCUGGGCUGUUACUGACGCUGAGGAGCGAAAGCAUGGGGAGCGAACAGGAUUAGAUACCCUGGUAGUCCAUGCCGUAAACGUUGGGCACUAGGUG